Molecule: long non-coding RNA, 1388 nt
Organism: Aquila chrysaetos chrysaetos
Lineage: Eukaryota; Metazoa; Chordata; Aves; Accipitriformes; Accipitridae
Exons: 2
Source: RefSeq, a predicted model, not a curated record
UCUUUUCAUGGAGAGGGGACGUCUCAAGUCGAAGUCACGAUUUCUCCUCAGUUUGGAACCAUCUGUGACUGGAGCCAUGACGCAGCCAGAGCACAUUACUCACUUUUACAGUCACGACUUGGAAAUCCGUGCAGUUUCCAACCAAAAUUACACCGCCACCAUUGAAUUAUUUAAUAGGAUCCAGUUAAGGAUUAGAGCCGUUGCAUGCGGUCUUGGCCAGGAGGUGCUCUCAGCCCCCAGCCCAAUGUGCUGUGCUAUACCGAUGUUCAUGGCUGCACCAUGCCAUUGUCUGCGGGAUCUGCAAUUGUUGCUGGGCUUUGUGUGGUAGGUGCACCAUUUUCUAAGCUUGCUUUUACUGCGAGGCUACGGCUAAACGUGCUCAGGGGAAAGCUGCUUCCUCGGCUAUUGUCUGCCUUCUGCCUUUUCCACCCCUCGCGGGUCUGAGCCUGCGGCUAAGCCCCCCUCUCCACGGCCGUUUGGGAGGGCUACCACCGCGCGGGGUAGAACGGGGUGGUGCGUGCCAGCGCCGGACGGUGGUUCCGCGUCUCUUCUAGUGCAAUCUGAUGACAUGUCUUUGCUAGCCGGAAUGCCUGCGAACCUGCAUGCUCGCAGCCUGGCGAGAACUUCCCCGGCUCCCGGGAGCGGUGAGGGGGUGACGGGCGUUCGCAGCGCCGAGGUAACCCUGCGUUCCCUGCUCCGUACACACCACAACAAUCCCCCGCUACUUCGCCACUAAUUCAGUCAUUCCACCAACUCAUCUGGUGAGGAUAUGACUAAGGACGCGAAGGACGGGCAAUAAUAAAAACAGACGCUCGCGCACACACGAUCUGCAGAAGGUGUGGGCACUCGGAGGGGGGAAACGAGGUGGGAGGAGAAGGGGUGAGUCCAAAUAAAGCAACCUAUAGCCUCUUAUUUUGCCGAGCACCAUCAUCAGGUGCAGGCUCUUUCAAACGCACGGGCGGGAAGGGCAGGCGGAGGCGCGGCGGCGGGGAAGCCUCCGCGGGGGGAAGCUGCGCGGCAGCGGCGGCGGCGGCGGCGGCGGCGGCGGGUUCAGCACCGGGGCGCGGACAGCUCCCGGCGGCCGCCCGGCGGGGAGCGCCCGGCCCCCCCCGGUCCUGCCUCGUCCCCCCCCCCUCCGCUCCCCCCCCCCAACUCCCCCCACAACCCCCCCCAUCACCUCGGAGAGGCGAAAUUAGGGAGGGGGGCGAGUGGGGAGAGGGGCUCAACAGCGCCGACAGAGAGAGAGAGAGAGUUGCAGCUCGCUAUUGAUUCAGAGAUUUACCGACAGGGUGAUUCCCCUUUCUGCAAGAAUUCCCUCUCUCUGGGCUCCGUGCAUGCACCAAAUUCAUUAUGUAGACGAGCAUACCCCUCUCGCUUUAGAAGAAAAG